Zea mays is the source of this 1565-nucleotide long non-coding RNA. RefSeq lists it as uncharacterized. The record is from RefSeq and is a predicted model, not a curated record. NCBI's taxonomy places the organism in Eukaryota, Viridiplantae, Streptophyta, Magnoliopsida, Poales, Poaceae. The transcript is spliced from 2 exons.
CACAUGAGGCACGUCUACACUUCAUUCAUCACUUCCACCUCUUCAUACCACAAACAGUAAUGGAUCCCUUUAUUAAGUCCAAUGUUCUCUUGCACAUGGCUCAAGACAUGGAAGCUGAUGACGACGAACUUGAGUUAGCGACCAUCCGCUAUGUAAGGAGCCGCCGUGAACGCAACCAGCAUCGACAUGGUGGUUCCGUUCCGGGCCGAGUUCGGAUCCCCCGAAACCAUUUUGGCGGUAACUUGAGGAUCUUAGCCGACUAUUUCUUAGAUCAUCCAGUUUACACAGAUGCCCAGUUCCAAAGGAGGUUUCGCAUGCAUUGCCAUGUGUUCGAGCGCCUCAUGGGGACAGUCCAACAGGUUGACCCGUACUUUGUAUAGCGUCCAAACUGCGCUGGAAAGAUGGGACUCUCCGCUUUGCAGAAGGUUGUUGCAGCCACCUACAUCCUCGCCUAUGGUGUUCCUGCAGAUGUUGUGGAUGAGUAAGUGUGCAUUGGAGAGUCCACCACACAUGAGGCUCUUCAACACUUAUAUAAGGCCAUCGUAGUUGCGUUUGAUCCGUACUACCUGCGCCCGCCUACUCCCGAUGAUAUCACGCAACUACUCCAAGUCGGUGAGUCAAGUGGCUUUCUAGGGAUGCUUGGAAGCAUCGAUUGCAUGCAUUGGGAGUGGCGAAACUGCCCUACCGCGUGGAAGGGUAUGUUCGCAUGGUGAGGGAAGCACCCCACCAUGAUCCUAAAAGCGGUUGCAUCUUAUGACCUUUGGAUAUGGCACGUGUACUUUUAGCAUGCCCGGUAGUAGUAAUGACAUCAACGUUUUUGCAUUGUUCACACAUAUUCUAAAGGCAUCUCAAUGCGGAGGAUCCUCCGAUUGCUUUCAUGAUAAACGAUCACAACUACGACAUGGGGUAUUACCUUACGGACGAUAUUUACCCUGAUUGGAUGGCUUUUGUGAAAACAGUCUGCCACCCUUUUGAGCCUCGCACAAAGCACUUUGCAAUGAAGCAAGAGUUCGCUAGAAAGGAUAUAGAAAGGGCGUUUGGUGUGCUUCAGUCUAGGUGGGCAGUGAUAUGUGGUCUUGCUUACGAUUGGUCGCCAGCCAACAUUCAUGACAUCAUGAUAGCAUGGAUCAUACUUCAUAAUAUGGUAGUUGAGGACGAAGGGCAUAUGGCCUGAAUGCUACCUUCGACAACACGGGUGAAUCUAUUGAUCCAACUCACGGAUCUCUCGAGGAACACAACGCUUUCAUCCUCAAACAACACGAGAAGCUUAAAGAUCCAAAGAAGUAUCAGGAACUGCAAAAGCACCUGAUCGAGCAUCACUAGACUCGUCUUGGCGUCGACAUUCCAUAGAAGGUUUACGUGGUCAUGUGGUUAGAGAGUCCACCAAUAAAAUUCAUUCUAUUGUGUUGUUAGCGUGCUUUGUAGUUCUUCAAAGUUUAGCAAGUUAGUUUGAUGUGUUCGUAUUGUUCAGGUGUGGCCGUGCAUGUAUCCGAAUUGAAGGUAGUGUGUUGUGUCUCUAUUGCUCCAAGUGAAAUGUGUGGUCCUUCAUGGAAGCUUUACAAGUA